CCUACGGGAGGCAGCAGUGAGGGAUAUUGCACAAUGGGGGAAACCCUGAUGCAGCGACGCCGCGUGGGUGAAGAAGUAUUUCGGUAUGUAAAACCCUAUCAGCAGGGAAGAAGAAAUGACGGUCUCUGAGAAAAACGCCCCGGCUAAAUACGUGCAAGCAGCCGCGGUAAUACGUAGGGGGCAAGCGUUAUCCGGAUUUACUGGGUGUAAAGGGCGCGCAGGCGGCACGGAAUGCCUGAUGUGAAAGCCCGGGGCCCAACCGCCGGACUGCAUUGGAAACUACCGGGCUGGAGUGCCGGAGAGGUAGGCGGAAUUGCUAGUGUAGCGGUGAAAUGCGUAGAUAUUAGGAGGAACACCAGUGGCGAAGGCGGCCUACUGGACGGUGACUGACGCUGAGGCUCGAAAGCGUGGGGAGCAAACAGGAUUAGAUACCCGAGUAGUC
RNAcentral lists this ribosomal RNA (442 nucleotides) under uncultured bacterium. Its description in RNAcentral is "partial 16S ribosomal RNA". It matches the Rfam family "Bacterial small subunit ribosomal RNA", at positions 338 to 795 of the family's 1533-position model. The record is from RNAcentral.